Molecule: ribosomal RNA, 487 nt
Filed under: uncultured bacterium
Lineage: Bacteria
Description: partial 16S ribosomal RNA
Rfam family: Bacterial small subunit ribosomal RNA
Source: RNAcentral
AGUGAACGCUGGCGGCGUGCUUAACACAUGCAAGUCGAGCGAGAUUCUACAGCACACCGUAGAGUCUAGCGGCAGACGGGUGAGUAACACGUAGGAAACUUUCCCUGAAAUGGAUGAUACCCCCGAGAAAUCGGGGCUAAUACUGCAUAAGACCACAUUCCGGCAUCGGAAAGAGGUCAAAGGCCCGCAAGGGUCGUUUCGGGAUGGUCCUGCGUCCUAUCAGCUAGUUGGUGAGGUAACGGCUCACCAAGGCUAUGACGGGUAGCCGGCCUGAAAGGGCGAUCGGCCACACUGGAAAUGAGACACGGUCCAGACUCCUACGGGAGGCAGCAGUGGGGAAUUUUGGACAAUGGGCGAAAGCCUGAUCCAGCAACGCCGCGUGAAGGAUGACGGUCUUCGGAUUGUAAACUUCUUUUAGAGGGAACGAAAAAAAUGACGGUACUCUCAGAAAAAGCCACGGCUAACUACGUGCCAGCCGCCGCGGUAA